AAUAGAUACCCCGGUAGUCCACGCCGUAAACGAUGAAUACUAGGUGUAGGGGGUAUCGACCCCUUCUGUGCCGCAGUUAACACAAUAAGUAUUCCGCCUGGGGAGUACGAUCGCAAGGUUAAAACUCAAAGGAAUUGACGGGGGCCCGCACAAGCAGCGGAGCAUGUGGUUUAAUUCGAAGCAACGCGAAGAACCUUACCUAGACUUGACAUCCCCUGAAUUACCUGUAAUGAGGGAAGCCCUUCGGGGCAGGGAGACAGGUGGUGCAUGGUUGUCGUCAGCUCGUGUUGUGAGAUGUUGGGUUAAGUCCCGCAACGAGCGCAACCCUUAUCAUUAGUUGCUACCAUUAAGUUGAGCACUCUAGUGAGACUGCCCGGGUUAACCGGGAGGAAGGUGGGGAUGACGUCAAAUCAUCAUGCCCCUUAUGUCUAGGGCUACACACGUGCUACAAUGGUUGGUACAAUAAGAUGCAAUACCGCGAGGUGGAGCUAAAACUUAUAAAACCAAUCCCAGUUCGGAUUGUAGGCUGAAACUCGCCUACAUGAAGCCGGU
RNAcentral lists this ribosomal RNA (552 nucleotides) under uncultured bacterium. RNAcentral's name for it is "bacterial SSU rRNA". It matches the Rfam family "Bacterial small subunit ribosomal RNA", at positions 777 to 1330 of the family's 1533-position model. The record is from RNAcentral.